GUGGGGAAUCUUCCGCAAUGGACGAAAGUCUGACGGAGCAACGCCGCGUGAGUGAAGAAGGUUUUCGGAUCGUAGAGCUCUUUCGUUAGGGACGAACGUGCUCUUCGUGAAUAAUGAGGAGUAAUGACGGUACCUAAAUAAGAAGCCACGGCUAACUACGUGCCAGCAGCCGCGGUAAUACGUAGGUGGCAAGCGUUGUCCGGAAUUAUUUAGCGUAAAGCGCGCGCAGGCGGGAUAUCAAGUCGGUCUUAAAAGUGCGAGGCUCAACCUCGUGAGGGGACAGAAACUGGUAUUCUUGAGUGUCGGAGAGGAAAGUGGAAUUCCAAGUGUAGCGGUGAAAUGCGUAGAGAUUUGGAAGAACACCAGUGGCGAAGGCGACUUUCUGGACGAUGUCUGACGCUGAGGCGCGAAAGCUAGGGGAGCGAACGGGAUUAGAAACCCGUGUAGUCC
RNAcentral lists this ribosomal RNA (450 nucleotides) under uncultured bacterium. RNAcentral describes it as "partial 16S ribosomal RNA". It matches the Rfam family "Bacterial small subunit ribosomal RNA", at positions 354 to 796 of the family's 1533-position model. The record is from RNAcentral.